GUGUCAGCAGCCGCGGUAAUACCGGCAGCCCGAGUGAUGGCCGAUCUUAUUGGGCCUAAAGCGUCCGUAGCUGGCCGCACAAGUCCAUCGGAAAAUCCACCCGCUCAACGGGUGGGCGUCCGGUGGAAACUGUGUGGCUUGGGACCGGAAGGCGCGACGGGUACGUCCGGGGUAGGAGUGAAAUCCCGUAAUCCUGGACGGACCGCCGAUGGCGAAAGCACGUCGCGAGAACGGAUCCGACAGUGAGGGACGAAAGCCAGGGUCUCGAACCGGAU
RNAcentral lists this ribosomal RNA (275 nucleotides) under uncultured prokaryote. RNAcentral describes it as "partial 16S ribosomal RNA". It matches the Rfam family "Archaeal small subunit ribosomal RNA", at positions 455 to 729 of the family's 1478-position model. The record is from RNAcentral.